Molecule: microRNA, 22 nt
Filed under: Ornithorhynchus anatinus (platypus)
Lineage: Eukaryota; Metazoa; Chordata; Mammalia; Monotremata; Ornithorhynchidae
Description: oan-miR-1422q-5p
Source: miRBase by way of RNAcentral
UUCAAUCCAGACCAGUUUUUCU